Chrysemys picta bellii (western painted turtle) is the source of this 1207-nucleotide non-coding RNA. NCBI's taxonomy places the organism in Eukaryota, Metazoa, Chordata, Testudines, Emydidae. The record is from RefSeq and is a predicted model, not a curated record.
CUGGGGUACAGAAUGGCUAGUUGGGGGGACAGACUGGCUUAUGGCCUCAGGUGCGGGGACAGGGGCAGAUGUGCCUGACUGAAUUGGAGAGGCUUGGGUUCAGCCAGAUUCUGCAUGGGGAGACUUCCCAACUCUCUAACAUUCCUACCCCCCAAAAAAAGAACCUUCUCCCACCCAUACCUAACACCCUCCAGGUUCACUCCUAGGCUCCUUUCCCCUUCCUCAGUGCCUCCAUUAUCCCUGACUCCCCCAAGCCUUUGCACUACUUCUGACAGGUGCAGGAAAUACAGUUCUGUAUUGAAAUUUAAAUGAAGUACUCAAAGUUCUGCAUUAAUAUGUUUGGGAAGAAAUCUAUUUGUCAAAAAAAAAUUGUUACAGACAUACUCGCUGACAGAUAUUUUUAAAUAAAUUACCAAAAUUGAAACUGGCAUGAUUAUAUUGUGUUGUUUUGACAAAUAAAAUAUGCAGAAUUUUGCAGAAUUUUCAAAUACUGUAUGCAGAAUUUUUUAAUCGUUUGGUGCAGAAUUCCCCCCGGAGUACAAGGUGCAUUUCUGUCAGUUGAGGGAUGUCACAGUCGAUUGACCUCUCUAUUGCAUGAGUCAUAUGUCUCUCAUGUACCAUACCAUGCUUCUAGUUUGGUCCUCUUCAUUAUUAACAGUGAUCUGUUAUUAUCUUUGCACCCCAGGCUGUUUUUUCCAUAUGUGAAGAAGAGCUGUCACAAAGACUGGAGCAAAUUUUUGAACCCCUUGAGAUUCCAGUUUCAAAGGAAACCACAAGCCUCUUUGACAGCCAACAGCUGCCCCCUGAGCUGACAAGAGAUAUAAAGAAUCACCUUAAAAAUCUCUAUUUUAAAUAUGGACAAGACUUUUACCAAGCCAAGAUUUGGCCUGUUCUUUCUCCUGAUCUACAGAAGUUUCAGCUACUUGUAAAGUUCACAGCAGAGUGCUACAAAAUUUACUGUUUGUUGCUUCUUCAGAACCCGCCCAUUAAACCUGUGUGGCCCGCAAAUAGAAUUCACACAGAUUUCAUAGAGCAUGUGGACAAUAAAGAGAUAGAAAGUUGUAUGCCAAUAACCUUUCUGUGGCCAGUGCUGACCUAUGGGGGAAAGGUAAUUAGAAAGGGUGUAAUCUAUGAUUAAAAGUCAUGGCUGUUUGGAGUCAAAUUAUACCCCUGUGUCAAAAAGCAAUAAAAAGCAAGUAAAUCUGCA